UGGCCUGAAAGCAAAUGAGAAGAGCUCUGGCUCAAAAGACAAUGAUAUCAAGAUGACUGACGCAGAGGGAUCAUCCAAUGGAAGUGGAGAAUGUUUUAAGGCUACCUCCAAAGAAGGUAAAUGUUGUAAAUAUUCUCCUUAGCUUGAACUGAGCAUCCCUUUUUGUAUUUCAAUGUUUUUAUUGAGAUCUGGUAAAUAUAAUCUGUGUUUGACGUCCAAGGCGUCGUUUGCAGUUUAGCAUUGACAUUGUGGGUUAGUUUGUGUUUGGGUGUGGUCUCUGGAGUGUGGACUUUGUAAUAGACCUUUGGGCCUUGGAGAUUUAUGGUGUAAAUGAGUUGUUGUGGCAUUAUAUUUCAGAAGUUUAUUUCUGAACUAAAUUCUAUUGCUUUCCAGUAUUGCAUGCAUUUUGGGAAGAUGCUAGACUAUAUACAUGAUCAUCCUGCAUUGAAGGUUAUCAAACCAAUAAUUGCCUAGUGACUUUGUGCUCUGAUGAUGGGUGAUACCAGGGGUAUCGCAGGUGAAUGACUUGUGGGAUUGUGUCAGAAGGGUCUACAAUGAAAGUAUUGGGAAGUAUGGGAUUAAGGGUAAGGGUAAGGUAUGAGGUAUAUGGUACGAGGUAUAUGGUACGAGUGGUUAUUUGGCUUAUUCGACCAGUCUUCAAAUGAGUCUGAGACCAAUACGUUAACUUCUUCUGCUAGAGAAUGAAAGGUUAGAAGAAAGCCAAAGGGGUGAUUCCCCAUCGGCACUUUGAUGGUUUAGUAAUUGUUGGAAGAAUUUAGAAGCAAAGAGAAUAAUGGCUGAGAAUGUAAGAGUUCGAAUGUUUUACCUUGAGAAAGUAAAGUCUUGUACACCAACCAUUAUCUCAUUAGGGGAGUGCCAAGUGUUGUUUUGGGUUACCAGCUAGACUAUAGCUUUCAUCUUUUACAGCAUGUUACUCAAAAUUUGUCUCUAGUAACAGGUGUAAUGUCAUUCCUGCAAUGGCGGUUAUUGUGUCAGUGAUGAUAACAUUUGUUGCCGGCACAGUACCACAGUUAUUUGGCUCAUUAAUACUCGCCUUACUGAUAAUAAAUGACUCUCCCUUCGUUAGGAGGAGCAUUUCGUUCUGCGAGUGCUGUUUUGAGGGGUUGGGUUCCAAUACCAGUCAGUAGCUUCUUCAUAACAGUUUAAUGCCGAUCCCUUGAUCGAUUGGAUCGCACGAUCUUCAUUGAGCGUUUAUUUGAGUCCACUACCCUCAGAUACAGACAUGGCUUCCCCUGUAUAUACAGGUGUCUCAGUUCAUUAUUGUCCACGUAUCAUUAAUCUAGUAGUUGACUAUUUUUAAGUGUAUCAUGCUCCCCAAGUUAUUUUCCCAAGAUGCACAUAUAUUAAGUUCUGAUGCUUAUGCUGAAACCCAUCUUGCUUGCUCUAUUAAACAUUCUUACUGUUCACUCCAGGUGGUUCAUCUGACAAAGAAUCACAUUUGACUGGAAUAUAUGAUUUGGUUGCU
Molecule: unclassified non-coding RNA, 1486 nt
Filed under: Hevea brasiliensis (rubber tree)
Lineage: Eukaryota; Viridiplantae; Streptophyta; Magnoliopsida; Malpighiales; Euphorbiaceae
Source: RNAcentral